This 820-nucleotide ribosomal RNA is filed under the name Sanguirana luzonensis (Luzon frog). RNAcentral's name for it is "partial 16S ribosomal RNA". The stretch from base 205 to 649 matches the Rfam family "Bacterial large subunit ribosomal RNA", at positions 619 to 1301 of the family's 2925-position model. Lineage: Eukaryota; Metazoa; Chordata; Amphibia; Anura; Ranidae. The record is from RNAcentral.
GCCUAACAUCUAGCCCACACUACCCCCAUGAACCUUUUCUACACCCUCCCGUACACAACAAAACAUUUUAUCUCUUUAGUACAGGCGAUCGAAAAACUUAUAGGCGCUUCAGAUUAAGUACCGCAAGGGAAAGAUGAAAUAAAAAUGAAAUAACUUUAAAGCCCCAAAUAGCAGAGAUAUACCCUCGUACCUUUUGCAUCAUGGUCUAGCCAGUUUAACCAAGCAAAAUGUGAACUUUAGUUUGACACCCCGAAACUAAGUGAGCUACUUCGAAACAGCCCUAAGGGGCCAACCCGUCUCUGUUGCAAAAGAGUGGGAAGAUUUUCAAGUAGAGGUGACAAGCCUACCGAACUUAGAGAUAGCUGGUUAUUCAGGAGAAGAGUCUUAGCUCUGCCUUAAGUUUUCUUAUUAACUCAAACAAAUCUUUAAACUUAAGAGUUAUUCAAGUAAGGUUCAGCUUACUUGAAACAGGAUACAACCUCCAAUAUUGGGUAAAUAAGGGGAACCUAGAUAAAGUGGGCCUAAAAGCAGCCACCUUAUAAAAAGCGUUAAAGCUUAAUCACCAAUUCACCCAUAAUUCCUUGAUUCCUUAUUAACCCCUCAUCCCUACUGAAUCAUUUUAUACUAUUAUAAAAAUUAUUAUGCUAGAACUAGUAACAAGAAACUGCCUUUCUCCUGAAUGUCAGCCAGAACCGAAAUAAACCCUAUCGGUAUUUAACGUAUAUGCUCUAACUAUAGUAACCCGCAACUAGAAAACCCUAUUAUUUUCAACGUCAACCUUACACUAGAACAUUACAGGAAAGAUAAAAGAAAGAGAAGA